RNAcentral lists this RNase MRP RNA (228 nucleotides) under Pyramimonas parkeae. RNAcentral describes it as "partial RNase MRP". It matches the Rfam family "RNase MRP", at positions 36 to 249 of the family's 266-position model. From Rfam's summary of the family: RNase MRP is an enzymatically active ribonucleoprotein with two distinct roles in eukaryotes. In mitochondria it plays a direct role in the initiation of mitochondrial DNA replication. Lineage: Eukaryota; Viridiplantae; Chlorophyta; Pyramimonadophyceae; Pyramimonadales; Pyramimonadaceae. The record is from RNAcentral.
UGGGUUAUGCGUAACUUUUUGAGAAAAUCGCUGGGCGAAAGUCCCCGGACGCUGAGGCAGAGAGUGCCAGCCUUUGCAGGCAGGACCCUUGUGAGAGCACGUACGCGAUUCCUUGUGGAUCGGGGCGAAGACGCGCAAGCGGAGCUCUUAUGCGUCGUGCACCACUAGGCAGCUCGUCCUAGCACAGUCAUGUGGCCGGCGGGCAUAUCGCCCGCUAACAGAACGGGG